UCGGCUUAGAGUUUGAUCCUGGCUCAGGAUGAACGCUGGCGGCGUGCCUAAUACAUGCAAGUCGAACGAAACUUCUUUAUCACCGAGUGCUUGCACUCACCGAUGAAGAGUUGAGUGGCGAACGGGUGAGUAACACGUGGGCAACCUGCCCAAAAGAGGGGGAUAACACUUGGAAACAGGUGCUAAUACCGCAUAACCAUAGUUACCGCAUGGUAACUAUGUAAAAGGUGGCUAUGCUACCGCUUUUGGAUGGGCCCGCGGCGCAUUAGCUAGUUGGUGAGGUAAAGGCUUACCAAGGCAAUGAUGCGUAGCCGAACUGAGAGGUUGAUCGGCCACAUUGGGACUGAGACACGGCCCAAACUCCUACGGGAGGCAGCAGUAGGGAAUCUUCCACAAUGGGCGAAAGCCUGAUGGAGCAACGCCGCGUGGGUGAAGAAGGUCUUCGGAUCGUAAAACCCUGUUGUUAGAGAAGAAAGUGCGUGAGAGUAACUGUUCACGUUUCGACGGUAUCUAACCAGAAAGCCACGGCUAACUACGUGCCAGCAGCCGCGGUAAUACGUAGGUGGCAAGCGUUAUCCGGAUUUAUUGGGCGUAAAGGGAACGCAGGCGGUCUUUUAAGUCUGAUGUGAAAGCCUUCGGCUUAACCGGAGUAGUGCAUUGGAAACUGGGAGACUUGAGUGCAGAAGAGGAGAGUGGAACUCCAUGUGUAGCGGUGAAAUGCGUAGAUAUAUGGAAGAACACCAGUGGCGAAAGCGGCUCUCUGGUCUGUAACUGACGCUGAGGUUCGAAAGCGUGGGGAGCAAACAGAU
This 809-nucleotide ribosomal RNA is filed under the name uncultured bacterium. RNAcentral's name for it is "bacterial SSU rRNA". It matches the Rfam family "Bacterial small subunit ribosomal RNA", at positions 1 to 777 of the family's 1533-position model. The record is from RNAcentral.